This 1225-nucleotide long non-coding RNA is filed under the name Cricetulus griseus (Chinese hamster). Its description in RNAcentral is "lncRNA (ENSCGRG00000025261.1)". Lineage: Eukaryota; Metazoa; Chordata; Mammalia; Rodentia; Cricetidae. The record is from RNAcentral.
AAAACAAUUACAAUAAAUUACCAGCAGAUAAUAGCUUUUAAAGAGUACUAUGAAAUGGCAAGCUUGUUAACAUCUCAUAUGUAUUUCCUUUCUAUAGGUGAUUUUCUUCCACCCCCACCUCCACCCUUAGAUGACCCUGGUACCCUUCCACCUGGCUCUGGACACUUCCCUCCUCCUCCACCUCUGGAUGAAGGCGCUUUCAAAGUACAGCAGGGAAAUCCUGGAGGCAAGACCCUGGAGGAAAGGCGGUCCAGUCUGGAUGCCGAAAUUGAUUCCUUGACCAGUAUCCUGGCUGAUCUGGAGUGCAGCUCUCCCUACAAGCCUCGGCCCCCACAGUGAAGUUUGCCUUGAAGAUAAUGGACAUUCUUUUCUACGGUUUAGACAUAAAGAAGCCAGCCGAGAGUUGAAAUUAUUUGUUCACAUAGCAUACUUGGUGCUAUGCUGCCUGGAUUUCAAGAAGAUCACUUUUCCUUAGCUAAGCCCUGCCAGAACUGAAAGAUAAUGCCCACUCUAACUUCCGGCUCAUCAGCUCUUUAAUAAACCUGCAUUUUCUCACCUGAAGACGAAGUUCAACUUUGCAUCAUUUCCUUCAGUUUCUGUUCUUCUCUAAUUCAAACUUUGUUUUUCUGAGUUCUUAAUCAGUACAUUCAGCCAUGUGGGCCUUGAGUUAAAGACUGCUCUUGUGCUUGGCGAGUACAAACUUGUUUCUUGUCAUUCUGCCUAAGUCACAUCACAACUACUUAAGUAACAUUAGUGUUCUAUUGCUCAAAAUAAAUAAUCUGGAGAUGAUUCAAAAUGCAUAGGGGAAUGUACAGGUUUAAUGCAAGCACUGUGUCACUUCACAUAAGAUCUUGGUAACUGGGAGGCUCCCAGGUAAAUUUCCUAUGCUAGUGAGGAAUGGCUCCAUGUAGAUAUUUGCUGUUAACUUUGCAGAGCUUGGUGUAAAACUUCCAUCACGAUCCGUAGCCAAAGUCCACGGAGGCUUGCUUCUCUGAGGCACUGUUGUGCUACACAGACACUAUAAAAGGUAUAUUUGUUUAAUAGGCAGCCUUUAUCUCUCUUUCAUGACAGUCCAUCCCAUAGUUAUUAAUUCAGUGCUUUAUGUCAACAUAUGUGCUUUCACUACUCAAAAAUAUAAUGAAACACUGUUGUGUAGAAAGAGCACAGAGCUAAAAUACAGGCAAGUUUUUUUAGCCACCCCCUUGGUCUACUCUUUUGACUUUUG